This is a non-coding RNA of Hygrophoropsis aurantiaca, 87 nucleotides long. NCBI's taxonomy places the organism in Eukaryota, Fungi, Basidiomycota, Agaricomycetes, Boletales, Hygrophoropsidaceae. The record is from the annotation of a GenBank genome assembly.
GCCGUCGUAGCACAAUGGUAGUGCGUUGCCUUCCUACCCGCUGUUAUUGUUAGGCAAAGGUUGCGGGUUCGAUCCCCGUCGUCGGUA